Molecule: ribosomal RNA, 253 nt
Filed under: uncultured bacterium
Lineage: Bacteria
Description: partial 16S ribosomal RNA
Rfam family: Bacterial small subunit ribosomal RNA
Source: RNAcentral
UACGUAGGGAGCGAGCGUUGUCCGGAAUUACUGGGUGUAAAGGGAGCGUAGGCGGGAUGGUAAGUCAGAUGUGAAAUGCAGGAGCUCAACUCCUGAGCUGCAUUUGAAACUGCUGUUCUUGAGUGAGGUAGAGGUAAGCGGAAUUCCUGGUGUAGCGGUGAAAUGCGUAGAGAUCAGGAGGAACAUCGGUGGCGAAGGCGGCUUACUGGGCCUUUACUGACGCUGAGGCUCGAAAGCGUGGGGAGCAAACAGG